ACUUCAUCAAACGGAAAAGGUUUUAUUUAAAAUAAAUUAAUAGGGAAUCGUGUGAAAAUCACGAGCUGUCGCGCAACUGUAAGUAACACACCAAAAGUUUUUGUCCGAGAAUAUCCACUGUGAAAACGGGAAGGAUGACAAAAACUGUUACAAGUCAGGAGACCUGCCUGCUCCGAAUGAUCAAUG
RNAcentral lists this non-coding RNA (186 nucleotides) under Chryseobacterium sp. 8AT. The record is from RNAcentral. Lineage: Bacteria; Pseudomonadati; Bacteroidota; Flavobacteriia; Flavobacteriales; Weeksellaceae.